RNAcentral lists this ribosomal RNA (403 nucleotides) under bacterium. RNAcentral describes it as "partial 16S ribosomal RNA". It matches the Rfam family "Bacterial small subunit ribosomal RNA", at positions 355 to 776 of the family's 1533-position model. The record is from RNAcentral.
UGGGGAAUAUUGCACAAUGGAGGGAACUCUGAUGCAGCGACGCCGCGUGAACGAAGAAGGCUUUCGAGUCGUAAAGUUCUUUUAUAUGGGAAGAUAAUGACGGUACCAUAAGAAGAAGCCCCGGCUAACUACGUGCCAGCAUCCGCGGUAAUACGUAGGGGGCUAGCGUUGUCCGGAAUCACUGGGCGUAAAGGGUUCGCAGGCGGAAAUGCAAGUCAGGUUUAAAAGGCAGUAGCUUAACUACUGUAAGCAUUUGAAACUGCAUAUCUUGAGAAGAGUAGAGGUAAGUGGAAUUUUUAGUGUAGCGGUGAAAUGCGUAGAUAUUAAAAAGAAUACCGGUGGCGAAGGCGACUUACUGGGCUCAUUCUGAUGCUGAGGAACGAAAGCGUGGGUAGCAAACAGG